GGAGAGGUGUCCGAGUGGUCGAAGGAGGCGGUCCUGAAAACCGUUGAACCGCAAGGUUCCGUGGGUUCGAAUCCCACCUUCUCCG
Molecule: transfer RNA, 85 nt
Filed under: Spirochaetales bacterium
Lineage: Bacteria; Pseudomonadati; Spirochaetota; Spirochaetia; Spirochaetales
Description: tRNA-Ser
Rfam family: tRNA
About the family: Transfer RNA (tRNA) molecules are approximately 80 nucleotides in length. Their secondary structure includes four short double-helical elements and three loops (D, anti-codon, and T loops). Further hydrogen bonds mediate the characteristic L-shaped molecular structure. tRNAs have two regions of fundamental functional importance: the anti-codon, which is responsible for specific mRNA codon recognition, and the 3' end, to which the tRNAs corresponding amino acid is attached (by aminoacyl-tRNA synthetases). tRNAs cope with the degeneracy of the genetic code in two manners: having more than one tRNA (with a specific anti-codon) for a particular amino acid; and 'wobble' base-pairing, i.e. permitting non-standard base-pairing at the 3rd anti-codon position.
Source: RNAcentral